AAUAGAUACCCGGGUAGUCUACGCCGUAAACGAUGGAUGCUAGCUGUAUUCGGUAUCGACCCCGGAUGUAGCGAAGCUAACGCGUUAAGCAUCCCGCCUGUGGAGUACGGUCGCAAGACUAAAACAUAAAGGAAUUGACGGGGACCCGCACAAGCGGUGGAGCGUGUUGUUUAAUUCGAUGGUAAGCGAAGAACCUUACCCAGGUUUGACAUCCUUGGAAUUUCUGCGAAAGCAGAGAGUGCUUUAUUGAGCCAAGUGACAGGUGAUGCAUGGCCGUCGUCAGCUCGUGUCGUGAGAUGUUUGGUUAAGUCCAUUAACGAGCGCAACCCUUGUAGUUAGUUGAAUUUUUCUAGCUAGACUGCCCCGGUAACGGGGAGGAAGGAGGGGAUGAUGUCAGGUCAGUAUUUCCCUUACAUCUGGGGCUACAAACACGCUACAAUGGCCGGUACAAAGGGCAGCCAACCCGCGAGGGGAGCAAAUCCCAUCAAAGCCGGUCUCAGUUCGGAUAGCAGGCUGAAACUCGCCUGCUUGAAG
Molecule: ribosomal RNA, 534 nt
Filed under: uncultured bacterium
Lineage: Bacteria
Description: bacterial SSU rRNA
Rfam family: Bacterial small subunit ribosomal RNA
Source: RNAcentral